AGAACGAACGCUGGCGGCAUGCCUAACACAUGCAAGUCGAACGAGACCUUCGGGUCUAGUGGCGCACGGGUGCGUAACGCGUGGGAAUCUGCCCUUGGGUUCGGAAUAACAGUUGGAAACGACUGCUAAUACCGGAUGAUGUCUUCGGACCAAAGAUUUAUCGCCCAGGGAUGAGCCCGCGUAGGAUUAGCUUGUUGGUGAGGUAAAGGCUCACCAAGGCGACGAUCCUUAGCUGGUCUGAGAGGAUGAUCAGCCACACUGGGACUGAGACACGGCCCAGACUCCUACGGGAGGCAGCAGUGGGGAAUAUUGGACAAUGGGCGAAAGCCUGAUCCAGCAAUGCCGCGUGAGUGAUGAAGGCCUUAGGUUGUAAAGCUCUUUUACCCGGGAUGAUAAUGACAGUACCGGGAGAAUAAGCCCGGCUAACUCCGUGCCAGCAGCCGC
RNAcentral lists this ribosomal RNA (444 nucleotides) under uncultured bacterium. RNAcentral describes it as "SSU rRNA". It matches the Rfam family "Bacterial small subunit ribosomal RNA", at positions 26 to 518 of the family's 1533-position model. The record is from RNAcentral.